RNAcentral lists this ribosomal RNA (254 nucleotides) under uncultured bacterium. RNAcentral's name for it is "partial 16S ribosomal RNA". It matches the Rfam family "Bacterial small subunit ribosomal RNA", at positions 524 to 776 of the family's 1533-position model. The record is from RNAcentral.
GACAUGGGUGGCAAACGUUAUCCGGAAUUAUUGGGCGUAAAGGGUGCGUAGGUGGUUUAAUAAGUUAUUGGUGGGAAAACGGGGCUCAACCCCGUUGAAGCUAGUAAUACUAUUGAACUAGAGGAUCGGAGAGGUUAACGGAAUGGCUCGCGUAGGGGUAAAAUCCGUAAAUACGAGUUGGAACACCAAAAGGCGAAGGCAGUUAACUAUUCGAUUCCUGACAUUGAGGCACGAAAGCGUGGGGAGCAAGACGG